CGACCGGCGCACGGGUGAGUAACACGUAUCCAACCUGCCGUCUACUCUUGGACAGCCUUCUGAAAGGAAGAUUAAUACAAGAUGGCAUCAUGAGUCCGCAUGUUCACAUGAUUAAAGGUAUUCCGGUAGACGAUGGGGAUGCGUUCCAUUAGAUAGUAGGCGGGGUAACGGCCCACCUAGUCUUCGAUGGAUAGGGGUUCUGAGAGGAAGGUCCCCCCACAUUGGAACUGAGACACGGUCCAAACUCCUACGGGAGGCAGCAUG
This 264-nucleotide ribosomal RNA is filed under the name uncultured bacterium. RNAcentral describes it as "partial 16S ribosomal RNA". It matches the Rfam family "Bacterial small subunit ribosomal RNA", at positions 92 to 353 of the family's 1533-position model. The record is from RNAcentral.